RNAcentral lists this ribosomal RNA (416 nucleotides) under uncultured Candidatus Saccharibacteria bacterium. Its description in RNAcentral is "bacterial SSU rRNA". It matches the Rfam family "Bacterial small subunit ribosomal RNA", at positions 28 to 460 of the family's 1533-position model. The record is from RNAcentral. Lineage: Bacteria; Candidatus Saccharimonadota.
GAUGAAUGCUGGCGGCGUGCUUAACACAUGCAAGUCGAGCGGAAACAUGCCUUCGGGUGAUGUCGAGCGGCGGACGGCUGAGGAACACGUGGGAACAUACCCCAGAGUGAGGGAUAACGCACCGAAAGGUGUGCUAAUACCGCAUAAUCUCUACGGAGUAAAGCAGUAAUGCGCUUUGGGAAUGGCCUGCGUCGGAUUAGAUAGUUGGUGAGGUAAAGGCUCACCAAGUCGACGAUCCGUAACUGGUUUGGGAGGAUGAUCAGUCAGACUGGAACUGAGAUACGGUCCAGACUCCUACGGGAGGCAGCAGUGGGGAAUCUUUCACAAUGGGCGAAAGCCUGAUGGAGCAACGCCGCGUGCGGGAUGAAGGCCUUCGGGUCGUAAACCGCUUUUAUAAGCGAGAAAUAUGAUGGUAA